GACGAACGCUGGCGGCGUGCUUAACACAUGCAAGUCGAACGGAAAGGCCCUGCUUUUGUGGGGUGCUCGAGUGGCGAACGGGUGAGUAACACGUGAGUAACCUGCCCUUGACUUUGGGAUAACUUCAGGAAACUGGGGCUAAUACCGGAUAGGAGCUCCUGCUGCAUGGGGGGGGUUGGAAAGUUUCGGCGGUUGGGGAUGGACUCGCGGCUUAUCAGCUUGUUGGUGGGGUAGUGGCUUACCAAGGCUUUGACGGGUAGCCGGCCUGAGAGGGUGACCGGCCACAUUGGGACUGAGAUACGGAGCAGACUCCUACGGGAGGCAGCAGUGGGGAAUAUUGCACAAUGGGCGGAAGCCUGAUGCAGCAACGCCGCGUGCGGGAUGACGGCCUUCGGGUUGUAAACCGCUUUCGCCUGUGACGAAGCGUGAGUGACGGUAAUGGGUAAAGAAGCACCGGCUAACUACGUG
RNAcentral lists this ribosomal RNA (468 nucleotides) under uncultured bacterium. RNAcentral describes it as "partial 16S ribosomal RNA". It matches the Rfam family "Bacterial small subunit ribosomal RNA", at positions 28 to 507 of the family's 1533-position model. The record is from RNAcentral.